AGCAGCCGCGGUAAUUCCAGCUCCAAUAGCGUAUAUUAAAGUUGUUGCAGUUAAAAAGCUCGUAGUUGAAUUUCGGGGUUAGUAGGUUGGUCAUGCCUCUGGUAUGUACUGGUCUCACUGAUUCCUCCUUCCUGAUGAGCCGUAAUGCCAUUAGUUUGGUGUUGCGGGGAAUUUGGACUGUUACUUUGAAAAAAUUAGAGUGUUUAAAGCAAGCUAACGCUUGAAUACAUUAGCAUGGAAUAAUGAAAUAGGACGUUCGAUCCUAUUUUGUUGGUUUCUAGGAUUGACGUAAUGAUUAAUAGGGAUAGUUGGGGGCAUUAGUAUUCAAUUGUCAGAGGUGAAAUUCUUGGAUUUAUUGAAGACUAACUACUGCGAAAGCAUUUGCCAAGGAUGUUUUCAUUAAUCAAGAACGAAAGUUAGGGGAUCGAAGACGAUCAGAUACCGUCGUAGUCUUAACCAUAAACUAUGCCGACUAGGGAUCGGAUGAUGUUAAUUUUUUAAUGACUCA
This 508-nucleotide ribosomal RNA is filed under the name uncultured Glomus. RNAcentral describes it as "SSU rRNA". It matches the Rfam family "Eukaryotic small subunit ribosomal RNA", at positions 569 to 1078 of the family's 1831-position model. Lineage: Eukaryota; Fungi; Glomeromycota; Glomeromycetes; Glomerales; Glomeraceae. The record is from RNAcentral.